UACAUUCUGGAACAUAGGUGCCAUAAGAU
RNAcentral lists this non-coding RNA (29 nucleotides) under Mus musculus (house mouse). The record is from RNAcentral. Lineage: Eukaryota; Metazoa; Chordata; Mammalia; Rodentia; Muridae.